Molecule: ribosomal RNA, 465 nt
Filed under: uncultured bacterium
Lineage: Bacteria
Description: partial 16S ribosomal RNA
Rfam family: Bacterial small subunit ribosomal RNA
Source: RNAcentral
GACGAACGCUGGCGGCGUGCUUAACACAUGCAAGUCGAACGGAAAGGCCCCUUCGGGGGUACUCGAGUGGCGAACAGGUGAGUAACACGUGAGUAACCUGCCCUUGACUUCGGGAUAACUUCAGGAAACUGGGGCUAAUACCGGAUAGGAAUCCUUGCUGCAUGGUGGGGGUUGGAAAGCUUCGGCGGUUUUGGAUGGACUCGCGGCUUAUCAGCUUGUUGGUGGGGUAGUGGCUUACCAAGGCUUUGACGGGUAGCCGGCCUGAGAGGGCGACCGGCCACAUUGGGACUGAGAUACGGCCCAGACUCCUACGGGAGGCAGCAGUGGGGAAUAUUGCACAAGGGGCGGAAGCCUGAUGCAGCAACGCCGCGUGCGGGAUGACGGCCUUCGGGUUGUAAACCGCUUUCAGCAGGGGCGAAGCUUGUGGUGACGGUACCUGCAGAAGAAGCACCGGCUAACUACGUG